UGGACAAGGCAUUUUAACAUGAUAGAAAAUGUCCUUUCAGCCCAUUCCCAACUCAGCAGGCCGCUGGCAUGCACACACGCGCACCUCCAAGUGUGUGUCCCAUGCUCAUGUGGCUAUGCUGUCUCGUAGUCUCCAAGUCACUGAGGGUCCCAUUGCUGGGGCUAGGUGUGGUGUGCAUGGUUCUUUCCAAGGAGAUGGAGGGAUGCCAGCCCUUUGCCUGGUGAGGUUUGGGACGAGGUCUUGCCGUAACCAGAUGCUAUGCUGCAAUGCCAGGUGUGGGCGCUGGAAGUCUGUGUAACCCCUUAGUGUCCUUUCCCACCCCUUCCCCACCCCUUUAGGCUAGAAUGUAAUGCCUUUGGCUCUUCUAGGUCCCACUGACGUAUUGAAGCAGAAUGUGCAUGUUAACAGGAACCCAUGAUUUCUGUGCUCAGCACCGUUCAGAACCUGCUUCCUUGAUUGCACAUAUUACAUUCCUACUGAAGAAGGGGGGAAAAGCAGGUAAAACAGUGGCAGAGUAAUGGCUCUGAAUCAAAGGAAACAGCCAGGUGGGAGGACAGGACAAGGUAAAGACAGCAUGGCCAGUGAGGCCUCUCUCUAGGAGGAGCUAGCCUGUGCUCACCUGGGACCAUGUUGCACAGAGGGUGUUGUACUCCACACUCCCCAGCACACCACGAUUCCCAGCCUCCUUCUAAGACUCUCCCGAGCCCAGCCUGGGUCUGGCUGCUUCCCCCGAAGCAGGGCUGGCUUGCUGCUCUUUCCCACAGCACAGCC
Molecule: long non-coding RNA, 771 nt
Filed under: Homo sapiens (human)
Lineage: Eukaryota; Metazoa; Chordata; Mammalia; Primates; Hominidae
Description: HSALNT0136883
Source: RNAcentral